CCUACGGGAGGCUGCAGUGAGGAAUAUUGGUCAAUGGUCGGGAGACUGAACCAGCCAAGCCGCGUGAGGGAGGAAGGUACAGAGUAUCGUAAACCUCUUUUGUCAGGGAACAAAGGCGGGGACGUGUCCCCGGCUGAGUGUACCUUAAGAAAAAGCAUCGGCUAACUCCGUGCCAGCAGCCGCGGUAAUACGGAGGAUGCGCGCGUUAUCCGGAUUUAUUGGGUUUAAAGGGUGCGCAGGCGGUCUGUUAAGUCAGCGGUCAAAGCCCGGGGCUCAACCCCGGCCCGCCGUUGAAACUGGCAGUCUCGAGUUGGAGAGAAGUAUGCGGAAUGCGCGGUGUAGCGGUGAAAUGCAUAGAUAUCGCGCAGAACUCCGAUUGCGAAGGCAGCAUGCCGGCUCCACACUGACGCUGAGGCACGAAAGCGUGGGUAUCGAACAGGAUUAGAUACCCGAGUAGUC
This 459-nucleotide ribosomal RNA is filed under the name uncultured bacterium. RNAcentral's name for it is "partial 16S ribosomal RNA". It matches the Rfam family "Bacterial small subunit ribosomal RNA", at positions 338 to 795 of the family's 1533-position model. The record is from RNAcentral.